CACACACAUACACACAUAUAAACACUUUUACUUUAACAUCAAAUCUAGCUUUCUUCCAUUCUAUUGGACUACCUUUAAAGGAUUAUUUCAUUUUAUCCAAUUCUAGGCAAAAGAGUAUUUCUAUUUAUCAGAAAAGUUAAAUGACUUAUCCAGUGUCUUACAAUUAGGAACAGCAAAGCACAAAUCCCAUGCUUCUAACUCCUAGUUAGUCAAGCUUUCCCACACGUAGUUCAGUCAUUUCUUAACCUGUAAUACUUUCAACUCACAUGUUUCAUUACCUUCAGGAGAUAUUUCAGGGGAAAUUAACUUUUCUAGAAACAACCUCUUCCCAAAUUUGGCUUUGUCUAUUCGAUAAGUACACAAUUUUGGGAUUUCUCUUCUAUAACUAUUUCUCUACCAUGUUUCCUUGCCUGAGAAAGGGGUGUAGCUUUUGACACCACCCCUGUAAUUAUAGCUUUUCAUGCAAUCCUAUUCAACUUUCCCUUCUUUCAAGAUAAUCCCUAAAUUGUGAAUCAAAGUCCAAGGCUUCAUUCAUUGCCUUCAGUCAUCUGCUUCUGAUUUAAUUCUUCCUUAUGAGCCCAGCAGGUAAUGAUUUGGUCAUGUUGCCUCCCUUAUGGCAAACAAUUCAUUUCAGAUUUAAGCGGAAGUAGAUUCUACCUGCUUUGGAGAAGCAAGUAUUAUGGAAAAAGUGCAGAGAAUAAAACUAUAUAUUGCAUAGUUCUUAAUUUAACCCUCCUCUGAAGACACUGGAGUAACAGGAUAAUCCUCCAAUUUAUUUCAGGGCUCUCUUUCCCUAGUCUAUAGUCUUUCAUUUCUAACACCUACUCAUUGUUUUCUCCUCCCCUUAUUUCUGAAGUUGAUGCCUACUUUUGUAUCCCUGUUUUACCAUAAUAAAUCUUUAAGAGGUUGCCACCUCUGACAGCUCCCCUCCAUUUCCCUUCACAAUAAGCAUAACUUCUAUAAACUCCUUUUCCCUACCUAAUCAAGCUACCUUUUCUAAAUCUCCCUUCCUCUUAAAUAGUAUCACUUAUUCCCUUCCAUUUAGUCUGCCUCCUUUAAUUACCUCCAGAGUGAAUAGCCUCCUACCUCCUGUCCCUAAAAGAAAUUGCUUCAAGCAAGUCUCAGCUGUCCCCUCAAAUAAAUAGCUUUCCAUAAUCUGAAUCAGUCUAAAAUACUGUCUUUCAAAACCUCUACUCAUUCUUCCUUCCCUCACAGGCAGGAGCUUUCUCCCACCCUCCUUAUCUGAGUUUUGAAUAAUCUCAUUGGAACUGAUUUUUUUUUUUAAUUCUCAAAGUAAAAAGACCUAAUGUAACCUCUUCUGGUCCCUUUCUGUCCUGGAGAAAAAGCUAUAGCAUGAAGUAUAUAAUAUCUCCCUUGUGCUUCUAUGAUUGUUUUUCUUCUAAUAAAAUGAGAAGGAGGAUACGCUGAGCCAUUCCCAGGCCAAACACAUUCUACUGUUUAUUACACAUAUUACAUUCUUAAAUAAAAAUGCGUCACAUAACAUUUUUUGCAUAGAUAUCUUACAAUAUACCAAUUUAAAAAAGAAUUAUGAAACAGACCAGUAACAAAAAUAAAUUUUUUCUUCAUUAAUAAUUUUGUAACAUUAACAUACCACCAUCAUAUAAUACAAAUAAUAUUUUUAAAUCUUAAGACUUUUGUACAGCAAAAAAACUUGACAAAGUAAUAUAUUUAUAUAUAUAUAUAUAUAUAAAAAGCUUAAAAAAAAUAAAAUGUCAAAAAAAGGCAGAACUGAGGGCUAUAAGACUAGGUACUUCUGUGAUAUAUUAUAAAUACCAGAGAAGGCCUGAGAGAAUGUGACUGUGGGGUUGAGGGGUGGGUCUCUCCAAAUACACUUGUUAGACAUCUGGCAAAAGAAAUGAUAUAGUGCAAAAAACAAAUUCCUUCAAGCAGUAUCUUAAAAAAAAGGGGAGGGGGGAUCAGAUACAAUUUAAAAGCAAAUAAGUUUGUGCGUGGAGGAUUAUGGGAGUGAGAAAGUAACUUUGGGGUAAUUUUGAUGGUGAAGAGGGAAGGGCUAGGAAAACCACUAAACAUUUAUUUUGCCUUAAGUCUUGUUAGGGGAGAUCUGGAUGAUAAUAAGUGGUUGUUUUGUUUUGACCCCUUCUUGGUCAUGAAAUACAAAUGCAGACUUAAAGAAAAAACAAAACAAAACAAAACAAAACCCCCAAAAUUCUAGUUUGAGCCUGUAUUCAGAGAGCAAAUGCAUGCUAGAAAAAAUAAAUAAAUCCAAGUCAAGGACCAGCCCAUAAUCCAGAAAGCCUUCCUGGGUCUAUGUGAUUGCAAUUAUUCUACCUCCAGCCCAAAGGCAUCACAGUUAAAAUGUCCCCUCAUUGUGUUCUCCUCCCAGCGUUUACUAAUUUUAAUAUACUGGCAACUGUAAGCAUGCUUUCCCUCCAAAGAAGAUAAUAGGCACUGGUGGCUAUUCCACUUAUAAUAUUCGCAGCCCAACUGAUUUCUUUCGGUGAAAGUACUGCACACACAUACAUGUGUGAAUACCACCCUCAGAAUUUUGAUGUGGGGCUCAUUUUUAUGGCAGUAUACAAAAGCUGGAGUGAAAUAAAUUGAAGAUUUCCAAGCUUACAGUUGAAAAAAAAUUGUGAAAACAACCCCAAUGAAGAAUGCAUCCACCUUCCCUCACAGUCACUAAGAAGACCUGUUUGGGGAGGAGAGGAAUAGGGACAAAAAAAAAAAAAAUUGAAAAUACCAAAGUCUCUAGCUUAGGAUAGUUGGAGAUUGAGGAUUUUAGGUGAUUCAUCUGUUUGUGGUCACCUGCUUCCCCUGGACUACAUUUAGAUAGCAGUGUUGGGAUUUGAAGGAUGACUACAGUCAAUGAUAGCUUUUCUGUGAUCUUCCAGGAGAUCCAGCAAAGGGAGAGUUGAGAGAGAAUAUUUAAAAAGCAAGAGAAAACCCUGGAGUUUUAAGCUGUUAGCCACAUGGUAUUUACAAGCAGGUUUUUUUUUUUUUUUUUUUUUUUUUUUGAUGUUGUUGUUUGCUCUGACACUUUUUGUUGCUUUCUCAUCUCCAGGGAUCCUGAAGACUCUUGGAUAAAGGAUCCAAGAGGUUAGUCUAGUCUCUAUUCCCAGAUAUUUUAAAAGUUCAAAAUAAGGUACCCCACCAUAUCUAUACAGGUGAAUCACAACCUCCCAGAACUUGUUCUCCUGCCCUCUCUAAAUGACAGUCAGUUACUUCUGGGAAAUGCAAGCUGGAAAAUUUCAACUGGUGCAUUUCAAUCAGGUUCUAAUUUCUGAAAUCUUAUUUUAUUUUGACAAAGAUCUGGGGGCAGGAUAACAGCCAGAAAAACUGGCUGUCACAGAACAGAGAUUAAAAAAAAAAAAGCAUCUGAUUUUCCUGGUGGUAUAAUUAAAUAGUUUGUAUUCCUAUACAUUUUUCCUUCCUUCUUCUCCUUCCUCCCAAAGGGCAAAUAGUGGGAAAUGGAAAUAGUAAAUAUUACCCAUAUCAUGAAUUUUUAAGGAAUGACUUUCACAGAGGGGAAAAUUUUUCAAAAAUAUAUUUGAGCCAUUAAAGGUAGUUCUCUUGUUUAAAUGUCUUGUUAAUGGCAAGGAAUUAAUAUCCUUCCGUUUAGCUUAGCUUUUGCAAUGGCAUAGCAAUAUUGAUGUCCUUAUUAUAUUGAAUAUACACAUCUGAAGGUCCAAUUUAUUUCCCCCCUUCAGUGCAAAAACUCCACAUGGCUUUCCUGGAAGUUGAGCCAAAGUGAAAUCCUUCUUUUAAAAUCUCAUUUGCCUUUUAGGCUUAUGAGGGUGAAAGUAAGGGGGCAGUCUCCAGUAGAAUCAGGAUGGAGUGCCGAAAUCAGGAAGAUUUGCUAUGAUCUUUGCUGGGGAAAGCACACAGGGACAUAAAAAAGGGGGGGGGGGGAAAUAAUUGGUUUAUGAGAUCCAUUCUGAGCCUGGGAAUAUUUUGUAAGAUGCUACUUUGACAUGGAGUUCAGACAUCUAUUUUUGUGGACAUAAUACCCUUCACUAGCCGGCCAAUGGGCCGUGCCAAUUAGUCAUUCAAAGGACAGGAGGUUCUGUGGGAUUUGUACACAAUGACUGAGAGGCUGGUAGCCAUGAGCUGCAUUAUGAUUUAGGGGUACCUUGUCUUUGACUUAUAUUCAGGUGGCAGGGGGAAAAGACACCUAAGUAGAAGAGAAAAAGAAUCAGCAAUAUUUUCCAUUCUGCAAAGUUAAUUGUGGGCCAAGAGCAAAGUGCGUUUGAAAGGUCUCUUACAUGAAAUAACAUGCUGGCACUCUCCUUACAUGGUUGGGAUUUCCCAACAUGUUAGAAGAUACUAAUUUAAGUGAAGAAUGAGAAGAAAUUGUUGUUCCAAUAGGAACAACUCAGAAAAUACUGCUCUGAAUACCCAAUCUUAUUUAAUUUCCUUCUCUCUCAUUUAAAUAUGUGUGUAUACACAUAUAUACACACAUAUACAUAGGCAUAUAUAUGCCCCAGAUCUACAUAUAUGUAUAUAUGUACCCACUGAGAUUGGUUCCUUAAGUAGGCCCUUAAAAAUCAUCCUUGUACCUUCUUACCAGCUGGUAAAAAAGGCCUUUUCAGCAGAUAUUUUGUCUCAAGUUGUUUCUCCCAAACAAUAGCAUUUAGUUCCCGGUGCCAAUUGGGGCUGGUUGAAAUUCACAGCUGAGACUUCAGCUUAAAGAAAUAUAGCUUUAAAAUAACAUUACAUCGCAACUAUCAAGUUCUUCAGCAAUUCUAAUGUUCCAACAAAUGAAUCAGGAGUAAGAGAGUGCCACCACCAAAUAUCAAUGAGUCCAGCUCUGGGAGAGGUCAAGAACAAAUUAAUUAAGAGUCUCACUGGUACAAGGAAAGAUAGAAGAAUUACCAAAACAUUUCAGACAUUCUAUGAGUACCAAAGGGCCCUUGUUCUGCCACAUUUAAAUGAGAACCUGACAAGACCACAAAUGAUAAAAGGAAGUAAAUAAUUAAUGAUUACUCUUUAUAAAAAAAAAAAAAUGUUAUGGGUGUUAUUUUUUUUUAAGAGCCUUGCAUUGAAUUGUCAGUUUAAAAUUUAAGUUGCCUUGUAGACCCUUAAUAAUAGUAGCAUUUCGAGAGGCAAGAGCAGCUAUUGCUCAGGAGAGGACCCUUAUGAUGUUGGCAGCCCAAGCAAGGCCUAUUACCGCGAGUGAUGUGAGGUGUCCAUGCACUCAUGCUGAAGGCCGCAAACAGAAAUGAGAUUCUAGGGUGUCUACAUUUUCAUGUAACGCACUGGCUGGAUGCGCUGCAGAGGAAUACAGCUGAGGUUCAAGUACACUCACACUCCCAGCUAUCACCCGGAAAGGAUACUCCACACAUUCAAAUGCAAUCCCAUGGAACUCCGGAUGGAAUGGCCAAAAAAGUAUUCAAAUGUAGAAGUAGAGAACUACAAGAUUGUCAGCAAGCAGUGCUCCAGGAAUUGUUUCUAACGUGUUAAGUUUUACAUCUUUGGAAUAAAAUUAAUUUUUUUUCUUAAAAAAUACCCUCCGACUAAUG
This 5501-nucleotide long non-coding RNA is filed under the name Sarcophilus harrisii (Tasmanian devil). RNAcentral describes it as "lncRNA (ENSSHAG00000029360.1)". The record is from RNAcentral. Lineage: Eukaryota; Metazoa; Chordata; Mammalia; Dasyuromorphia; Dasyuridae.